This 253-nucleotide ribosomal RNA is filed under the name uncultured bacterium. Its description in RNAcentral is "partial 16S ribosomal RNA". It matches the Rfam family "Bacterial small subunit ribosomal RNA", at positions 524 to 776 of the family's 1533-position model. The record is from RNAcentral.
UACGGAGGAUCCGAGCGUUAUCCGGAUUUAUUGGGUUUAAAGGGAGCGUAGGUGGAUUGUUAAGUCAGUUGUGAAAGUUUGCGGCUCAACCGUAAAAUUGCAGUUGAAACUGGCAGUCUUGAGUACAGUAGAGGUGGGCGGAAUUCGUGGUGUAGCGGUGAAAUGCUUAGAUAUCACGAAGAACUCCGAUUGCGAAGGCAGCUCACUAGACUGCAACUGACACUGAUGCUCGAAAGUGUGGGUACCAAACAGG